AUACGGAGGGUCCAAGCGUUAUCCGGAAUCAUUGGGUUUAAAGGGUCCGCAGGCGGUCAAUUAAGUCAGAGGUGAAAGCCCAUCGCUCAACGAUGGAACUGCCUUUGAUACUGGUUGACUUGAGUUAUACGGAAGUAGAUAGAAUAAGUAGUGUAGCGGUGAAAUGCAUAGAUAUUACUUAGAAUACCGAUUGCGAAGGCAGUCUACUACGUAUAUACUGACGCUGAGGGACGAAAGCGUGGGGAGCGAACAGGAUUAGAUACCCGAGUAGUCC
RNAcentral lists this ribosomal RNA (274 nucleotides) under uncultured bacterium. RNAcentral's name for it is "partial 16S ribosomal RNA". It matches the Rfam family "Bacterial small subunit ribosomal RNA", at positions 523 to 796 of the family's 1533-position model. The record is from RNAcentral.